CUUGGAAGAGCUGGGGCAGAGAGAGAAACAACAGCUUCUUUGUCUGGUUCUCUCAGAAGCCAACUCUGAGGCAAGGAUUCCUAGGAAAGACUAUCUUAAGAGUGAGAGGUGGAAUUUUAUUAUCUAUGGGACUGCUCUAUUUGCUCCCUUGACUGUGAGUGAUUUAAAGAUACUGGGUCUUGCUCCUUCACCCAAACUGGAGUGCAGUGGCACGAUCGAUCACAGCUCACCGCAGCCUUGAACUCCUAGGGCUGACACCAUCCUCCCGCCUGAGCCUCCUGAGUGGCUGGAACUACAGGAGUGCACCACCAUGCACCUAAUUGGUAUUUUAAAUGAUAACAACCACACGAAUAAUAUUAACAAUAAUGAUGAUGGUGAUAAUGACAGCUGCCACUUAUAUCCAUGGGCCAAGCAUUGUGCCACGCAUUUUGCUUACAUCUUCACACAAAAUCUACCAGGGAGGGAGUGUCUUUAACUGUCAUUUUACAGAUGGGGAAACUGAGGCUCUUAUGGGGAAGCCACUGGCCUGAGGUCAAGCACUGGAAUGUGACUGAGCCAAAAUGUGGCAGCAGAUCUGACUAUCGGCCUUUGUGGUUCACGAUUAUUGCCUCCAUUACAGUGCUGCCUGUGUGCUGGUUCUCGCAUGACAGGGAGGGUUGUGAGUAGACAGAGGGGUUGCAGCAGGACUGGCCCCUACCGUGUCAAAAGGGACAGGUCACAGGCUGAGCAGGAUGGGGCGGCAGGGGCAGGCUGCCUCCCCACACGCAGAGGUCCCACCCCAGCUCCCUACCAGCAGCAGACUGGGAGCCCUAGUGUGCCCAGCGCCCCCAUGAUUGGCAGCCUGCAGAUGGCAGGGGUGCCUUGGAAUUUAUUAUCCAAGCAUGCCUUUCCGAGGGGGCCUCACUGCCUGACACUGCUUUAUCGGAAAGCUGGGAAUGGUUAGCUGAGCCCAUCUGUUAGCCAAAGAGGGGAACUCAGUGGGUGGGGAAGUCUGUGGAGUCAUUUAAAAGGAAUUUCUCUGAUGCUGAGGCCAGGGCAGAAGGUUAUCUGCCCGUGGGCCGUUGGGCUGCCUGGUUUGGGGUAUUGGGGGCUUGGGGGUGGUGUGUGUGUGUUUGGUGGGGGACUCUCGUUGCUUGUUCUAAACCAAAAAUUGCUAGAGCCCUUCCCCCUUCUGAACAACAAUUUGAACUCUGCAGUGCUCUUUCAUUGCUGAAACCACCACAUUAGCAUCGUCAGUGUCUUGGUGACGAAUCUAGGACAGAUGGGGAUAAAUGCAGUGAUCUGAAUUAAUACUGGGGUGGCUAAUGAAUCCAGGAGCCAGGAAAUAAUUAGGAGAAGUUACUGCUCCUGACAUGGCAAAUAGAAGCUGUGUGUUAGAUGCCUUCUUCUCUCUCCCCUCCCACCAACCAAGAUGCCCCGGAAGACAGCUGUGCAGCCACCUGGGGUGGGGGACACUUGGAUGUCAGGACUUGAUCUUGGGUGAGGAUUCUGGGACAUUUAUGACAGAGGCUGGUGAACAGCAGGUGGAGACAGGAGAAUGGCGGUUCUUCCAUUGUAUAUCAAAGGUUCUUCUGUGCUUGGAAAAAGCACUGGACUGGGAGCCCAGAGGCCUGGGUUCAAGUGCAGGCUCCUACUGGAUCAUCCUAAGGCAUGUGGUUCCCUCCUCCAAUGCUCAAUGAAAGUAGAGCAUGAUCGAGGGUAGCAUGCACUGUUUGCUGCCCAGGGGCAGGCCCAUGCUAAAUGAUUUGCAUAGGGCUCUCAUUUAAUCUUCCCCCACAGCUCUAGUACUCUGUUUGUUCUCACUCUACCAAGUCCAAUUGUUUCAAUAGCUCAUUCAAGGGCAUGCAGUUGAUAGCAGAGCUGGAUUCAAACCCAGAAAUCAACUCAAAGGUCUGAGCCCUUGACCAUACCAUGUCACUGCCUUUUGCCACCAAGAGCCAGAUAAUCAUUGAUGUUUCUUCCAACACUGACAUAUUUUUAGGCCUUCAUGAUUCUUGUAGAUAUCUUGUAGAUAUCUGCUUUGCAAUAUGGGGAGUGAAAGGGAGUUGAGCUAUGCUUUUGUAAUUGGGUGUCUGAAAAGGCUGGGCCCCUAUUAUAUAUGAUCAUACGCUUUAUUCUUCCUUUCUAAAACUUAGCAUGUUUGCAAUUGAAUAAUUAAGUGUUUAUUGUUUAAUGGUUAUCUACCCUGCUAGACUGAGGCUCCAAAAAGAUCUCAUCUAUUUUGCUCACUGUUAUGUCCCCAGUGCAGAGAAGAGUGGAUGAUAUGUUGUGUUCGAAUUGAUAUCAUUUGACUGUGUCCCCACACAAAUCUCAUCUUGAAUUGUAGCUCCCACAAUUCCCAUGUGACAUAGGAGGGACCCGGUGGGAGAUAAUAGAAUCAUGGGGGUGGUUUCCCCCAUACUGUUCUCAUGGUAGUGAAUAAGUCUCAUGAGAGCUGAUGGUUUUAUAAGGGGUUUUCCCUUUCACUUGGCUCUCACUCUUUCUUGCCUGCCACCAUGUAAAACGUGCCUUUUGCCUUUUUCCAUGAUUAUGAGGCCUCCCCAGCCACAUGGAACUGAGAGUCCAUUAAACUCCUUUUUCU
Molecule: long non-coding RNA, 2581 nt
Filed under: Homo sapiens (human)
Lineage: Eukaryota; Metazoa; Chordata; Mammalia; Primates; Hominidae
Description: HSALNT0276476
Source: RNAcentral